UCAGCGCAUCACAUCAGUCACUCAAGAUGCCACUACUGGCACAGAUGUGAAGAGCUGGGACUUGGGAGCCGCAGUAGAAAACGCCUGAAGGUAGAAGAGCACCGAACAAGGAUUAUCUGGGUGGAUACCGCCGACCUGCGAGUUGGGGAUCUUCGUGUGUGUGAGGAUGUCAGUGUUUUCGCCUCGCUGACCGCAAUGUGCUUCUCUGGGUAGCCCCCGGGCAGCGUUCCUCCUCUCUGAAAUCGCCACCUCCUCUUCCCCUCCCCCUCCCCUAUCCUUCCUCCUCUCCCCCUAUCCCUCCCCCAUCUCAUUUAGUCCCACCAACCACCAGCUGCUCCAUGGAUCCCCUGUGUCCGAGUAAUGGUGUGAGCCGGACACAGGCCCGCACCUCCGGCCAACUGUAGCCCCCCACCCCAGCCCCCCUCGGUCCCAUUACUUUUUUAUUUUUUUGUACUGGCUUAUUUUUUCUCACAAUCCCUGGAGUUUAUUCUUGUUUGGAACCAGGGAUGGAUGUACCAUUGGAGGCCAGCAAGCAUGGCAAGAAGACGACCAGUCAAAAGCUGGAAGACCAGAAGAAGUUCUGUUUCUCUGGAGCAGCGCAUUGCUGUCUCGCCACACAGACAAGCUUCUGUUGUGUUUGGUUGUUCACGCCAGAGAUAUGUAUACAGAGAGAGGAAGACCUCUCUCCUCAGACACACCAUCUCCAGGGAGGCCAGCUUGAAGAGCCAGUUAUACUCCUCAGGUGGGUGGAUGGGAACAACCGGCUGUGUUUCAUCUCAACUUGUGCUAGCUAAUGCAUUCUGACUGCCUCGGGGUACAAGUCUGAGAUGCAUUACAUUGAUACACUACUAACCUGUAGACAUUUUCACUCUUCAGAUGUCUGUUGGGAAUCCAUUAGAGGGCAAAUGCUCUUUUUGUCUGGCAUCCACUAACGUCAGGGACUCCACUGGUGACUGGAGCUGGACACUGGUGUGAAUAGAAUUUCCUAACCGUCUGGACAUGCAGCAGGUGCACAGCCUCGGCUUUUUGAGUGAAAGGUGUUUUGAUCGCACCUCCUCCUCCCCAAGCUGUUACCGUAUACGGCUCCCGUACCCAAGAGAUCGCCAUAGAGACCCCAUCGCUUCUCUUACCGUCCCCGUCGAUCCUCCCCUCCUAAUGCACAUGUUACCUGGUGGGUGUGUUACAGGCGGAGAUGUAAUGAGCUCACUCGGGGGAACCAAUGAGUGAGUUUGAAAGGCGGGAGGCUGCUUAAUAAUUCAUGGCGAUGCUUGCAUAUUAGAUUCUGAACAAUUGAAAUGGCAGACGUGUGUGGAGCCGUGCUGUAGGUAGGUUAAGUGACCUUGUGGGUUUGGAGAGGGUGAACGGCUUCCUGCUUGCAGUGUGGAAGGGGUCGUGUUCCUCUAGGGCUGCGGUGAUAUGAUAGUGGGUGAUGUAUAGUGGCUAUUACCUUUUCUGGCAUCCGCGUGUGGAUCUUGCCACUGAAACCCGGCAGCAUUUGAUCAAAGGUGGGUAGAAUUUAUGAAGUCGUGUGCGCAAGGUCGUCAAGGGUUCCUCCACUAGGCUGUGGCGUGCUGAUGACAAGCCCAAUCAAGGAUGUGAUUAUUAAAUACAGACACUAACAACCUUGGAGCGUGUGCAUGUCCUCCUUUUGUAUCUCCUGAGCCACAUGCUUGAACCCAACUGAACUCACAGCCUUAGAUCACUUCCAUUAUGGUGUUUGUUUGGGUUGUCUUGAAUCACAGGUUCCAGAGGAAACACUCUGAUUGCUGAUGACCUGUCCUUCCCACCAUCCUGCUGACCAGAUGCAGCAGGAAACCGACCACAGAGCCCAAGUCACCAGGAAAUCAAAUAAAGUACUAACUGCACUAUUUGUUUGUCUUUGAUGUGCCUGUGACGAAUGCAGAAUAUGAGCUGAGCGGAAAAGGCUGAUUUUAGCUGUGAAUAAAAACACCUGUAUUGGGAACAUGGUGAAGUUAUAUGUCACUGAAGUGUGAGGCUGACAAGCAGGUGGGAUGAGGUUAUUAACCCCUAUUGUCCAUACACUAGGGGGGAUGAGGUUAGCCCUAUGGUUCAUACACCAGGGGGGAUGAGGUUAGCCUUAUAGUUCAUUCACCAGAUGGGAUGAGGUUAACCCUAUAAUUCAUACACCAGAUGGGAUGAGGUUAUCCCUAUAGUUCAUACACCAAAUGGGAUGAGGUUAGCCCUAUAGUUCAUACACCAGAUGGGAUGAGGUUAGCCCUAUAGUUCAUACACCAGGUGGGAUGAGGUUAGCCCUAUAGUUCAUACACCAAAUGGGAUGAGGUUAUCCCUAUAGUUCAUACACCAAAUGGGAUGAGGUUAGCCCUAUAGUUCAUACACCAGAUGGGAUGAGGUUAGCCCUAUAGUUCAUACACCAAAUGGGAUGAGGUUAUCCCUAUAGUUCAUACACCAAAUGGGAUGAGGUUAGCCCUAUAGUUCAUACACCAGAUGGGAUGAGGUUAGCCCUAUAGUUCAUACACCAAAUGGGAUGAGGUUAGCCCUAUAGUUCAUACACCAGAUGGGAUGAGGUUAGCCCUAUAGUUCAUACACCAGGUGGGAUGAGGUUAUCCCUAUAGUUCAUACACCAAAUGGGAUGAGGUUAGCCCUAUAGUUCAUACACCAGAUGGGAUGAGGUUAGCCCUAUAGUUCAUACACCAAAUGGGAUGAGGUUAGCCCUAUAGUUCAUACACCAAAUGGGAUGAGGUUAGCCCUAUAGUUCAUACACCAGAUGGGAUGAGGUUAGCCCUAUAGUUCAUACACCAAAUGGGAUGAGGUUAGCCCUAUAGUUCAUACACCAGAUGGGUUGAGUUUAGCCCUGUAGUUCAUAUACAGAACCAGAUGGACUGCUCUCCUACACACUUUGUGUUUCUUAUUAAAACAAUGGCCACUAAGUGUGUAUAUGUGUUUACACACUAAGUGUUGAUAUGCCUCUUCUGCAUAUAAAACAGUUUCUUAUAGUUCAUUUGAACCUGUCAGCCACUUCGUUAAGAUCCAGAUCUGUCGAACCCUGAAUAAUCAGCCUCUCUGCCAUAGUUGCAAUUGUAUAAUCUGCGAAUAUUAUAUAUUUUUUUAAACUGCAUACAUUUUUCAUGAUCUCCUGAGCAAUAGUUCAAUCUGAGAUCUUCUGAGGGACAAGGGAGGUCAGGCCAUGUGUGAGUGAGGAGAUGCUAACCUCGAUCAACAGUCAGAGUCCCUAUCGUAUGCAUCAGGGCUCCUUUGUUUGAAUGUCGGCGUGAGCUUGAGGCAUGCUUGAAAAUCAAACAGGCAGGCUUGCAAGUGCCCUGGGAGGACGCAAACGCAGCCAUGACAGCAGAUACAAUGCUAGGAGAUGGAAAGCGGCAUAGGUCAAGUCAUUUCAAACAUGUCAGUGCUAACCUUCUGCCUCUCACAUUUUGGUUCCCACUACAUCACGGGGGGGUGGGCAGGGACCUGUCUCACGCCUGGUUGUGUCCCCUUCCAUGAGUCACCGUAACA
This is a long non-coding RNA of Oncorhynchus mykiss (rainbow trout), 3492 nucleotides long. The record is from Ensembl. NCBI's taxonomy places the organism in Eukaryota, Metazoa, Chordata, Actinopteri, Salmoniformes, Salmonidae.